UGUGACAUACCACUUGUUGCCUCGGCGGAUCAGCCCGCUCCCGGUAAAACGGGACGGCCCGCCAGAGGACCCCUAAACUCUGUUUCUAUAUGUAACUUCUGAGUAAAACCAUAAAUAAAUCAAAACUUUCAACAACGGAUCUCUGGCAUCGAUGAAGAACGCAGCAAAAUGCGAUAAGUAAUGUGAAUUGCAGAAUUCAGUGAAUCAUCGAAUCUUUGAACGCACAUUGCGCCCGCCAGUAUUCUGGCGGGCAUGCCUGUUCGAGCGUCAUUUCAACCCUCAAGCACAGCUUGGUUCGCGUUAAUUCGCGUUCCUCAAAUUGAUUGGCGGUCACGUCGAGCUUCCAUAGCGUAGUAGUAAAACCCUCGUUACUGGUAAUCGUCGCGGCCACGCCGUUAAACCCCAACUUCUGAAUGUUGACCUCGGAUCAGGUAGGAAUACCCGCUGCAUAUC
RNAcentral lists this ribosomal RNA (453 nucleotides) under Fusarium oxysporum. Its description in RNAcentral is "eukaryotic LSU rRNA". The stretch from base 124 to 270 matches the Rfam family "5.8S ribosomal RNA". The record is from RNAcentral. Lineage: Eukaryota; Fungi; Ascomycota; Sordariomycetes; Hypocreales; Nectriaceae.